This 232-nucleotide ribosomal RNA is filed under the name uncultured Lactobacillus sp. RNAcentral's name for it is "partial 16S ribosomal RNA". It matches the Rfam family "Bacterial small subunit ribosomal RNA", at positions 130 to 355 of the family's 1533-position model. Lineage: Bacteria; Bacillati; Bacillota; Bacilli; Lactobacillales; Lactobacillaceae. The record is from RNAcentral.
CCACGAGAUCGGGAUAACACCUGGAAACAGAUGCUAAUACCGGAUAACAACAGAUGAUGCCUAUCAACUGUUUAAAAGAUGGUUCUGCUAUCACUCUUGGAUGGACCUGCGGUGCAUUAGCUAGUUGGUAGGGUAACGGCCUACCAAGGCGAUGAUGCAUAGCCGAGUUGAGAGACUGAUCGGCCACAUUGGGACUGAGACACGGCCCAAACUCCUACGGGAGGCAGCAGUU